AACACACAAAUAACACUUUUCACAGUAGACUUACUCAGUCCCAGCAAGCCUGGGGACAAAUUAAGCCCUGGAUGGGGAGGUGGGGGUAGGCAGCAGUGCC
Chelonoidis abingdonii (Abingdon island giant tortoise) is the source of this 100-nucleotide non-coding RNA. NCBI's taxonomy places the organism in Eukaryota, Metazoa, Chordata, Testudines, Testudinidae. The record is from RefSeq and is a predicted model, not a curated record.